UCCUACGGGAGGCAGCAGUGAGGAAUAUUGGUCAAUGGGCGAGAGCCUGAACCAGCCAAGUCGCGUGAAGGAUGACGGCCCUACGGGUUGUAAACUUCUUUUGUCAGGGAGCAAUUGAGUCCACGUGUGGGCUUAGCGAGAGUACCUGAAGAAAAAGCAUCGGCUAACUCCGUGCCAGCAGCCGCGGUAAUACGGAGGAUGCGAGCGUUAUCCGGAUUUAUUGGGUUUAAAGGGUGCGCAGGCGGCGAGUUAAGUCAGCGGUAAAAUUUCGGGGCUCAACCCCGACGAGCCGUUGAAACUGGCUU
RNAcentral lists this ribosomal RNA (305 nucleotides) under uncultured bacterium. Its description in RNAcentral is "bacterial SSU rRNA". It matches the Rfam family "Bacterial small subunit ribosomal RNA", at positions 337 to 639 of the family's 1533-position model. The record is from RNAcentral.